This 499-nucleotide ribosomal RNA is filed under the name uncultured bacterium. Its description in RNAcentral is "bacterial SSU rRNA". It matches the Rfam family "Bacterial small subunit ribosomal RNA", at positions 415 to 924 of the family's 1533-position model. The record is from RNAcentral.
CCUUCGGGUUGUAAACCGCUUUCAGUAGGGACGAAGCUAACGUGACGGUACCUACAGAAGAAGGACCGGCCAACUACGUGCCAGCAGCCGCGGUGAUACGUAGGGUCCGAGCGUUGUCCGGAAUUAUUGGGCGUAAAGAGCUCGUAGGCGGCUUGUCACGUCGGAAGUGAAAUCUCGGAGCUCAACUCCGAGCCUGCUUCCGAUACGGGCUAGCUAGAGGAAGGUAGGGGAGAAUGGAAUUCCGGGUGGAGCGGUGGAAUGCGCAGAUAUCCGGAGGAACACCAGUGGCGAAGGCGGUUCUCUGGACCUUUCCUGACGCUGAGGAGCGAAAGCGUGGGGAGCAAACAGGCUUAGAUACCCUGGUAGUCCACGCCGUAAACGGUGGGCACUAGGUGUGGGACUCAUUCCGCGAGUUCCGUGCCGUAGCUAACGCAUUAAGUGCCCCGCCUGGGGAGUACGGCCGCAAGGCUAAAACUCAAAGGAAUUGACGGAAUCACUA